Molecule: ribosomal RNA, 110 nt
Filed under: Claviceps purpurea 20.1
Lineage: Eukaryota; Fungi; Ascomycota; Sordariomycetes; Hypocreales; Clavicipitaceae
Source: RNAcentral
ACAUACGACCAUAGUCGUUAGCAUUCUUCAGGAUCCUGUCCGAUCUCCCACGAGAAUCUCACAAGCGCUGGAUCAGUGGUUGGGUCCGCGAAUACCCGGUGUUGUAUGUC